GAUUAGUGACAGAGUGAGGGAGGGGGUGACUAGUGACAGAGUGAGGGAGCGGGUGACACAGUGACAGUUAGGGAGGGAGUGACUAGUGACAGUCACCCCCUCCCUCCCUCUGUCACUAGUCACUCCCUCCCUCUGUCACUAGUCACUCC
This 149-nucleotide microRNA precursor is filed under the name Pelobates cultripes (western spadefoot toad). The record is from RNAcentral. Lineage: Eukaryota; Metazoa; Chordata; Amphibia; Anura; Pelobatidae.